This 497-nucleotide ribosomal RNA is filed under the name uncultured bacterium. RNAcentral's name for it is "partial 16S ribosomal RNA". It matches the Rfam family "Bacterial small subunit ribosomal RNA", at positions 28 to 507 of the family's 1533-position model. The record is from RNAcentral.
GAUGAACGCUGGCGGCGUGCCUAAUACAUGCAAGUCGAGCGAACGGACGAGAAGCUUGCUUCUCUGAUGUUAGCGGCGGACGGGUGAGUAAUACGUGGAUAACCUACCUAUAAGACUGCGAUAACUUCGGGAAACCGGAGCUCAUACCGGAUCAUAUUUUGAACCGCAUGGUUCAAAAGUGCUAGACGGUCUUGCUGUCACUUAUAGAUGUAUCCUCGCUGCAUUAGCUAGUUGGUAAGGUAACGGCUUACCAAGGCAACGAUGCGUAGCCGACCUGAGAGGGUGAUCGGCCACACUGGAACUGAGACACGGUCCAGACUCCUACGGGAGGCAGCAGUAGGGAAUCUUCCGCAAUGGGCGAAAGCCUGACGGAGCAACGCCGCGUGAGUGAUGAAGGUCUUCGGAUCGUAAAACUCUGUUAUUAGGGAAGAACAUAUGUGUAAGAAACUGUGCACAUCUUGACGGUACCUAAUCAGAAAGCCACGGCUAACUACGUG